RNAcentral lists this ribosomal RNA (162 nucleotides) under Prasophyllum flavum. Its description in RNAcentral is "5.8S ribosomal RNA". It matches the Rfam family "5.8S ribosomal RNA". From Rfam's summary of the family: 5.8S ribosomal RNA (5.8S rRNA) is a component of the large subunit of the eukaryotic ribosome. The record is from RNAcentral. Lineage: Eukaryota; Viridiplantae; Streptophyta; Magnoliopsida; Asparagales; Orchidaceae.
UAUGACUCUUGGCAAUGGAUAUCUUGGCUCUUGUAUUGAUGAAGAGCGCAGUGAAAUGCGAUAUGUGGUGUGAAUUGCAGAAUUCCAUGAACCAUCAAGUUUUUGAACGCAAGUUGCGCCUGAGGCCAACUGGCCAAGGGCACGUCCGCCUGGGCGUUAUGC